This 402-nucleotide ribosomal RNA is filed under the name uncultured bacterium. Its description in RNAcentral is "bacterial SSU rRNA". It matches the Rfam family "Bacterial small subunit ribosomal RNA", at positions 355 to 774 of the family's 1533-position model. The record is from RNAcentral.
UGGGGAAUCUUGCACAAUGGGGGCAACCCUGAUGCAGCGACGCCGCGUGAGCGAUGAAGCCCUUCGGGGCGUAAAGCUCUUUCGACCGGAACGAUAAUGACGGUACCGGGAGAAGAAGCUGCGGCUAACUACGUGCCAGCAGCCGCGGUAAUACGUAGGCAGCAAGCGUUGUUCGGAGUUACUGGGCGUAAAGAAUGCGUAGGCGGUUUUCUAAGUUCGGUGUGAAAUCUCCCGGCUUAACUGGGAGGGUGCGCCGAAGACUGGGAUGCGGGAGUGUGGGAAAGGCAGGCGGAAUUCCUGGCGUAGCGGUGAAAUGCGUAGAGAUCAGGAGGAACACCGGCGGUGUAGACGGCUUGCUAGACCAUAACUGACGCUGAGGCACGAAAGCGUGGGUAGCAAACA